This 196-nucleotide ribosomal RNA is filed under the name uncultured bacterium. Its description in RNAcentral is "partial 16S ribosomal RNA". It matches the Rfam family "Bacterial small subunit ribosomal RNA", at positions 328 to 539 of the family's 1533-position model. The record is from RNAcentral.
ACGCUCGACACCUAGGAGGCAGCAGUGGGGAAUAUUGCACAAUGGGGGAAACCCUGAUGCAGCGACGCCGCGUGAGCGAAGAAGUAUCUCGGUAUGUAAAGCUCUAUCAGCAGGGAAGAAGAUGACGGUACCUGACUAAGAAGCACCGGCUAAAUACGUGCCUGCAGCCGCGGUAAUCUGAGCGGGCUGGCAAGGC